Molecule: ribosomal RNA, 497 nt
Filed under: uncultured bacterium
Lineage: Bacteria
Description: partial 16S ribosomal RNA
Rfam family: Bacterial small subunit ribosomal RNA
Source: RNAcentral
GAUGAACGCUGGCGGCGUGCCUAAUACAUGCAAGUCGAGCGAACAGACGAGGAGCUUGCUCCUCUGACGUUAGCGGCGGACGGGUGAGUAACACGUGGAUAACCUACCUAUAAGACUGGGAUAACUUCGGGAAACCGGAGCUAAUACCGGAUAAUAUAUUGAACCGCAUGGUUCAAUAGUGAAAGACGGUUUUGCUGUCACUUAUAGAUGGAUCCGCGCCGCAUUAGCUAGUUGGUAAGGUAACGGCUUACCAAGGCAACGAUGCGUAGCCGACCGGAGAGAGCGGUCGGGCCCACGGAGACACACACCCGGUCAGGCCCCAGGCGGGAGGCACAAGCUGGGAAUCGUCGGAAAUGGCGCACAAGUGGAGAAACUCAGUGCGUGGGGUGGAAGAAGUUUUUCGGUCCUUAAACCUUUGUUAGGAGGAACAAAAAAACGGGACAGUAAAAAUUCCGGUCUUGACGGUACCUAAUCAGAAGGCCGCGGCUACGCCCGUG